Molecule: small RNA, 1150 nt
Filed under: Histoplasma ohiense
Lineage: Eukaryota; Fungi; Ascomycota; Eurotiomycetes; Onygenales; Ajellomycetaceae
Description: hypothetical lncRNA
Source: RNAcentral
GACUGGGGCAAUACCUACCGACUGCGCUCUCUAGACAAUCAAUCAACUAACCUUCCAACCACAUGCAAUCAUGCCACCAUGCGUCCUUCCGACAUAACAGCACAUUCUAAGAAAUAUAUAUUCAAAGGCUGUAUUGUGAGAAGGGCAAAAGAAACAAAAGAAAGGAACAUGUGAUGUAAAAAAAAAUCUAAAGCUGGUAAAUUCUCACCAUCUACGUCACUUUGUUUAUAACAGCAUCAAAAGAAACCAUGAAGCCCUGUUGAUGAUUUCCAUUUCUGCUCCCCGAUUACAUACCGCUCAACUAGUUUUUGACAACUCCAGAAUGUCGACUUCAUCUCAACUUUCACCUGAGUCACACGCCCUCGUCGGGGCGAGAGGACUCGCCUCCCUUUGAGGUUAUGCUCGCGUCCGUGCUGCCUGACUAUCUCAUCAACCCUGAUGGUGCAGCCCAUCCUAUUUCUCCCGAGUAUCCCGUCUGCUCUUUUUUAACAGCACUUUGGCGGCUGUUGCGACCUUCACGAGGAUCCUAGACCUUGCAGAAGAACAAACAGUCAGAAGCGCCAAGAUCAUCGGUUACACUCUGGGCAAAGUGGGGAGGGAGUGUGAAUCAUGCAUAUAUAUAUCUUGAGGAAUAGGAUGCUAUUUUAAGGAUUUGAUCCUUUUUGGAGCAACUAGUGGCAAAGCCUUCCUACAAGAUUGCAUGUUUUACAGGGAGCCUAUCCUGCUUUGAUCGACGGUGAGCCUGGGCAAGUUGUUUCCGGAUCUGCGGAUAUUAUGGAGUUCGAAGAGUCGGCGCAAAAACUCGCCUGCUACGAGAUGAACGUGUGCAAGGUCGCUACUUUACUGGAUUUUCUUUAAUUUUCUCUACAGACAAUGGGUCGCUGGCAGAAGUACUACUUACUAUCUGGUAAGACAUUUAAGUACUAGUAUUCUGGGGACCCGAAAACCUCGCUAGACCAGCGAUUAAAUCGUCAACUUUGGACCUUGCAAAUGGGGCGCAGGGUGGGAUGAGUUUCUGUGGGAAUGUUUUGAACAUAUUGAAUGUAUUUCCACAUCUGAUUGAACGGAAUCAAUAAACGAAGAAGGUUGGAUAUCCUUAUUUGACACACUGUAGGAUAACUAUAACUAGAUAUCUAGAAAACAUCUGAUG